RNAcentral lists this unclassified non-coding RNA (17 nucleotides) under Mus musculus (house mouse). RNAcentral's name for it is "oocyte_clustered_small_RNA6922". Lineage: Eukaryota; Metazoa; Chordata; Mammalia; Rodentia; Muridae. The record is from RNAcentral.
UGCCAGUCUCCAAAUCC